Molecule: ribosomal RNA, 400 nt
Filed under: uncultured bacterium
Lineage: Bacteria
Description: bacterial SSU rRNA
Rfam family: Bacterial small subunit ribosomal RNA
Source: RNAcentral
UAGGGAAUAUUGGUCAAUGGGCGGAAGCCUGAACCAGCCACGCCGCGUGCAGGAUGAAGGUCUUUGGAUUGUAAACUGCUUUUGCAAGGGAAGAAAUAGCAGGUGCGCCUGUAACUGACGGUACCUUGCGAAUAAGCAUCGGCUAACUACGUGCCAGCAGCCGCGGUAAUACGUAGGAUGCAAGCGUUAUCCGGAUUCACUGGGUUUAAAGGGUGCGUAGGCUGUCUUAUAAGUCAGGGGUGAAAGUUUGUCGCUUAACGAUAAAAUUGCCUUUGAUACUGUAAGACUUGAGUGUUGCGGAGGGAGCUGGAAUUCGUAGUGUAGCGGUGAAAUGCAUAGAUACUACGAGGAACACCAAUAGUGAAAACAGGUUCCUGACCAACAACUGACGCUGAGGCAC